RNAcentral lists this ribosomal RNA (1160 nucleotides) under Staphylococcus aureus. RNAcentral's name for it is "partial 23S ribosomal RNA". It matches the Rfam family "Bacterial large subunit ribosomal RNA", at positions 1054 to 2215 of the family's 2925-position model. The record is from RNAcentral. Lineage: Bacteria; Bacillati; Bacillota; Bacilli; Caryophanales; Staphylococcaceae.
AUAUGUUAAGUGGAAAAGGAUGUGGCGUUGCCCAGACAACUAGGAUGUUGGCUUAGAAGCAGCCAUCAUUUAAAGAGUGCGUAAUAGCUCACUAGUCGAGUGACACUGCGCCGAAAAUGUACCGGGGCUAAACAUAUUACCGAAGCUGUGGAUUGUCCUUUGGACAAUGGUAGGAGAGCGUUCUAAGGGCGUUGAAGCAUGAUCGUAAGGACAUGUGGAGCGCUUAGAAGUGAGAAUGCCGGUGUGAGUAGCGAAAGACGGGUGAGAAUCCCGUCCACCGAUUGACUAAGGUUUCCAGAGGAAGGCUCGUCCGCUCUGGGUUAGUCGGGUCCUAAGCUGAGGCCGACAGGCGUAGGCGAUGGAUAACAGGUUGAUAUUCCUGUACCACCUAUAAUCGUUUUAAUCGAUGGGGGGACGCAGUAGGAUAGGCGAAGCGUGCGAUUGGAUUGCACGUCUAAGCAGUAAGGCUGAGUAUUAGGCAAAUCCGGUACUCGUUAAGGCUAAGCUGUGAUGGGGAGAAGACAUUGUGUCUUCGAGUCGUUGAUUUCACACUGCCGAGAAAAGCCUCUAGAUAGAAAAUAGGUGCCCGUACCGCAAACCGACACAGGUAGUCAAGAUGAGAAUUCUAAGGUGAGCGAGCGAACUCUCGUUAAGGAACUCGGCAAAAUGACCCCGUAACUUCGGGAGAAGGGGUGCUCUUUAGGGUUAACGCCCAGAAGAGCCGCAGUGAAUAGGCCCAAGCGACUGUUUAUCAAAAACACAGGUCUCUGCUAAACCGUAAGGUGAUGUAUAGGGGCUGACGCCUGCCCGGUGCUGGAAGGUUAAGAGGAGUGGUUAGCUUCUGCGAAGCUACGAAUCGAAGCCCCAGUAAACGGCGGCCGUAACUAUAACGGUCCUAAGGUAGCGAAAUUCCUUGUCGGGUAAGUUCCGACCCGCACGAAAGGCGUAACGAUUUGGGCACUGUCUCAACGAGAGACUCGGUGAAAUCAUAGUACCUGUGAAGAUGCAGGUUACCCGCGACAGGACGGAAAGACCCCGUGGAGCUUUACUGUAGCCUGAUAUUGAAAUUCGGCACAGCUUGUACAGGAUAGGUAGGAGCCUUUGAAACGUGAGCGCUAGCUUACGUGGAGGCGCUGGUGGGAUACUACCCUAGCUGUGUU